RNAcentral lists this ribosomal RNA (775 nucleotides) under uncultured Neocallimastigales. RNAcentral's name for it is "partial large subunit ribosomal RNA". It matches the Rfam family "Eukaryotic large subunit ribosomal RNA", at positions 24 to 628 of the family's 3401-position model. The record is from RNAcentral. Lineage: Eukaryota; Fungi; Neocallimastigomycota; Neocallimastigomycetes; Neocallimastigales.
UAUGUGAUCGUCUCUCGCAUAUCAAUAAGCGGAGGAAAAGAAACUAACAAGGAUUCCCCUAGUAACGGCGAGUGAAGCGGGAAGAGCUCAAAUUUGAAAUCUUAAAGGGUUUCCCUUUACGAAUUGUAGUUUAAAGAAGUGUUUUCUGUUGAGGUUUUGGUAAAAGUUCUUUGGAAUAGGACAUCAUAGAGGGUGAGAAUCCCGUAUUUGACCUUUACUUUCAACUUUGUGAUACACUUUCAAAGAGUCGGAUUGUUUGGGAAUGCAGUCCAAAAUGGGUGGUAAAUUUCAUCUAAAGCUAAAUAUUGGCGAGAGACCGAUAGCGAACAAGUACCGUGAGGGAAAGGAUGAAAAGAACUUUGAAAAGAGAGCUAAACAGUACGUGAAAUUGUCAAAAGGGAAGCGUUUGACACCAGUGUUGUUUUUCUGAAAAUCAAUUAAGGAACUGUUUAUGCUAAGCUGUUUAGACUUUAUCAGCUAACUGUUUAGUUUUGAGCUUUUCUUUAAUGCACUUUUCAGUUAACAAGUCAACAUCAAUUUCUUUUGCUGUAAAAAAGCUUGAGGAAGGUGGCUUGAGAUUCGUCUUAAGUGUUUAUAGCCUCUUGCCUAUGCAGUCGGAGAGAUUGAGGUCUGCAGCGUAGAUCCUUCGGGGCUAAAUGCAUUUGUGCUAAGUUAUAGCAUUUUAAAGACAACUUGUUGACUAUGAUUUGUCUUGUAGCUUACUCGCUUAUGUUAUUUUACCUACGCUUAGGAUGUUGAGUAGCGACAUAAGCAC